Long non-coding RNA from Neopsephotus bourkii (Bourke's parrot), 5321 nucleotides. RefSeq lists it as uncharacterized. Lineage: Eukaryota; Metazoa; Chordata; Aves; Psittaciformes; Psittacidae. The transcript is spliced from 5 exons. The record is from RefSeq and is a predicted model, not a curated record.
GUUAUGACAUGUCGGUGUAAGGCAGUGAAUAAUUGUAUUGAUUAAUCAUGAAAUAACAGGAAAAUAUGAAGUAAAAGAACUUCUGUAAGAUAGAAUAUAUUUUAAAAUGAAAAUUCAAACUCCUAAAAUUGAUUCUGGAAACAGAUUUCAUUUAACCCAUUUUAACCAGCUCCUAAUUCUUGUUUUCCUCCAGAUUACCAUUUACUGGGAAACUGAUGAAAUACUUGGUUUUAUCCUUCGAUCAACUCCAGACUUCAAAACAUUAAACUUUGAUGAGAAAAGAAGUUCAGAGCUUUAAUCAGCUGUAAAAUGAGUGUGUGCUGCUGGACUACAGUUGCAAGAUGAUCUCAGCAUCUGGUGAAUUUAAACUACUUCCUGCACAUCUAGUAGAUAGCGCCCUGUGCAGUUUAAGUGAAUGGAGGGUGCUGACAAUCCCAAACUCUCUGUAUACAUGGGAAAUGAGCUGCUGAUCUGAACAGAUAAGGGUUGCAGCUUCCAGGAUGACCACAAAAUUUGCUUAGCUUCACCUCUGAGUGCUGGGGCCACUACCUGUCCCUGCCUGCAUAGCAGUGAGAAGACAGGAGUGUUACCUCUGCAGCCUUGGGUCCUUGUUCUCAUUUGCUUGGAAGAAAGACAGAAUGAGCAAUUACUGUCAGCUGCUUCACAAUUGAAAUGAGGGACCGGCCUUCUGAACUGUUCCAGGAGAUGGAGCAGAGCAGUGCACUUUACCUUGAUGAAGAACCUUCCUGAAGUUUAUAUAUGGUCUCACAGUAGUGUGAAGGAUGACUGUAGGGAAAUGCUUUUCUGGCCACGUGCUCUGGACAUCCAACCAGCCAGAUAUUUUAAAUGAGAGGAAAAAGCUUGAUUGCAACAACAUGAGCCCUAUAACGGACCUGUUUAAUCCUCAGCACCUUGUCUACCUCUACUGUGAACAAGAAGCAGAAAGCUGUCCACCUUGGUUGCUGUUGCUGUUGGUUUGACAGUUCUUGGCAUGACUGGCUUUCCCAGAGGAGCAGCAGCCCAACUAUUUAUACUGUGGUUGUGUCUACAGUAGCAUUCUUGAGGAAAUCUCCCAUCGUUAGAAUGCUGGCAGAGACAGUAACAGUGGGAGAACUGGCUCUGUCAGGGCAUUGGAGCUUUUAGCCAUCAAACUGGCUAACCCUCUGGGUAUUCUUUGUGCCUCCCUAAGUAAAAAUGAAGGCAAGCAAUCCAAUCCAAGCUGAAUGCAGCUUUACUUUUCUCACCUUGUUUGCUGGGUCCACUUCACUGGUUCAGUGCACACUAGUAUAUAAGCCUUAGUGAAUUCUCGAGGUUUGCUCUCACUUCAUCCAAACAGAUAGAGAUUUGCUACUGAAUUCUGUGAGAGAAGAAUCAGGCUUUAAUACUGAAUUAUCAGCCUUUCAUAAGGACAGAAAUUAAUUCUAUUGAUUAUUUUGCCUUUGGCAUAGCCUUGCUUUAUGCUAAAAGUGCACAGAGUUGUUAACUUAGUUUUCAGAGCUGUGAUGUGUCCUCCAGCAUGGAAAGAACCAGUGCUGCAGUGGUAGAUUGUUCUGUCUGCAGUCAGAAGUUUUUGUUUUUCUGCUCUCUGAAAUGCAGGCUUAGGGACUGAAGAGCUAGGAGUAUGACAUUGUAAGAAAGAGAUUCAGACAUCAAGUCACUCUUACUCAAGAUAUUAAGUCACAGCUUUUCUGUGUAUCUAACGUUUCUGAGUUGAUGGCAUGUCAAUCAAUGAUGGUUAUGUCAAUCUGAGUGGUAUCUAGCAUUGUUUAUUCUGUGAGAUGUCUCUUUGUAUCAGUUCAGCCAACCUUGCAAUCUAGCUGUACCUAGGCUCUUCAUCCUCUCUCUCCCCAGAUACUGCACUUAUCUAGACACCCACUUUCUGAGGGCUCCAUCUGUGCUGUUCCUCCUGCCUGCCUCUCCUCAGAAGGCACCUUCCUGGACAGCAGUUUUCUGAUCCUGUUGGUCUGAUCUACCUUCCAUGGAGUGACUGCAGAGCAGCCACGCAGAUGAAAAAAGAACCCGCCUAAGCAUGGAUUUCAGCAGGCGGUCUGCUCCGGAAAGUGUGAUGUCUGAGGUCAAAGUCUUGUGUUCAGAUUCUCUUUUCAAUUUCUGUCUUACAGCAUAAAUUUAUGGUGAUAUUCGGCAUUUCAGAAGACUUUCAGAUUCUGUAUGUCACCCUAAAAAUAUUUCAAGAAGUUUCUUUUGUUUUAUGCCAGCCUGCUGGCCAUGGUGGAUAUCUCUCCAUGUUUUCCAGUCUUCAGGUUGCUUAGUUCACCUAUUAUUUUAUUAUGAGUGAAACUCUUAGGCUGUCUCAGAUGUGAUUGGUGAUCUUGGUCACCCCACCUGAGGUGCCUUCAAGAGUAUUUUCUAAUAGUCACUGAGCAACCUGAAUGAUUUUCUUUCCUGGUUUUUGUCUCUGCUAUUCAAAUCUCUACCUUUGAUUGACAGAAUUUCAGGGGUGGCUUCAUUCUUCACUAUACAAGCACCAUACCACAACCUUUGGAGAUCUGAGAGCAAAAGAAGCCCUGUUCUGCCUCACGGGUGGGAAGGAGAGGGUUCUACACCAGACCCUGUGCUCUGCUGUGGGACUAGCCUGUACCUGAACCAAUUCUUUUAUUUAUCUAUCCCAAGAGGCCAACCUGUGUGGCAGGGGGAGCUAGCCUGGCAGCUAGUAUGCUCAUGUGUGAGAGAGAGAUGUGAAUCUUGCUAGAAAAGGGAACUGGCCCUGGUCCCCUUAAAUGUUCAUCAGUUCCUUUUGCUAGCUGGAAUAGCAGUAGAACCCAUGGAAGACAGGAGUGGCUUAGCCCUGCUCUUUAUGAAAGAAAAUGCUGAAGUGCUUUAAGACAAGGAAGAGUUCAGAGUGGAGUGGCAUGCAAGGCAAGUACUUCAUACAGCCCAGAAUAAGGCAGAUGGGCCUUGGGGUAUAUAUAGGAUUUGACUGGAUAUCCUUGGCACAUCCUCUGAGCCAUAUCUGAAGCAUAUGUUGUCCAUUGAAUGGACUCUUGUGAAUCCCUUUUUAUGGGCAGAUCCCUAACCCCUGAUAAUCAGUCUGGCUCCCUAGCUUAGUGCUGGGAGCCCAGCACCCAGACAUGAAGAGCUGCAGUGUUGAGUGCUGUUUGUCCAGGUACUUCUGUAGGUAGGCACCAUGUCCGUAACUUCAUUUUGAGAAGCACAAGUCUCUCAUUGCCUUCAGACUGAUUUGUGGAUCUUCAGGAUACCUUAGCAUGUUGUAAUGCAUAUACAGCCCUGAGUCCAUCAUAAUUAUAUGGACAUGUGACAAUAUCCAAUAUAAAUAGAUGAGAAUGCAACCUGUUAGAGAACUACAAUGUGCUUUUUCUGCAACACCCCCGAGCCUGUGUAUUGACAUUAACAAUAGCAAAGGCCAUCUCUGAAGUAUGUUCUUCUCUUUUUUAUUAAUGAUUAAUCCAGAUCUAGACUGGCUAUUCUGCCUUCAGUAGUCAUAGUCCAUGUAGAAUACAGCAGAACACAAUGAUGGCAUUAACUUCUGUGUAAAGAGUACCUUUAAUGAAGUAGUUAUUUAGUUUUUGUUAUUAUAGAACUAUAGUUAGAAUUGCUGAAACUUUGCAUCUUUAUAUGCACACAAGGUUCUUACUAGCUACAAAAACAUCUUUAUUCAAACUGAACCAUCUUUACUGAUGAAAAUAAGUGAAUUAUCCUAAUUUGAUUGCUCUUCUUGACAAUAAAAUUAUUUUUGCACCAAUAAAUUGGUUAGUAAUUCCCAUUGAAAAGUAAUUAACCUACCUUCUUAGUACCCUCAAAACAUUAACUGGGUUUGUCUAUCCAAAAAAAUAAAAAUGCAUUUUUUACAGAAGGCUCCUCAUUCAUUCAGCAUAUAAGUCUGUCUUGAGAAAGUGACAGCAUAAAUCUAUGAUUGUCCUUUUCUCAGGUCUUAGAGAAGGUUCAGCAUCUUAGAUGAGUAACUGGCCACCAGAUGAGAUAGCCUGCAACUGGAAGCUAAAAGAGCAUUUUAAAACAUGAGAACUGGCAGUUUCAAAGUACAGCAAAUGCAAAGGCAUUUAAGCCUAUGUUUUGGUUAUUUAGUGUAACAACUACAAUGUUCUGCAGUGUGUGUUCUCAGCAGAACUGUUUAUAUGGUCAGAGUUUGCUCAUGUUUAGAUACAUUGCCAAAUCAAAGCAUCUACUUCUUUCCCUCCUGUCCAGUCUAGAUAUUUAUAUUGCACCAUUGCCUGCAGUAUAAAUCUCUUCAGAAUGUCUUUUCAGUGGAAUUUUUUAACUUGAAAUGGCUUUUUAAAUGAGGACUGUAAUCUUAGCCAAAAUGGAAAUAUCCUGGGUAAAAAUAUCUGGGUUUAAUUACAUUUUCAUGUCUUCCAUUAGGAAAAUAAAGAGCUAAAAGAUCUUCCUGUGUCUGGCAACCUAAACUUAAACAAACUGGCUUGUUGUCAUCUGACUGGCUGGAUUUUUGGAAUUGUAUUUUCUGACUGUAGAAAACUGGAAAAUAUUUUGUGGAGAGGUUUCAGUUUUGCAGUGAAAUUUUGAAAAAUUCUGUGGAAGACUGUAAGUUAAUUAAAAUAUUUCUAUUUAGCAUGUCUGUUUUUUACAUAAAAACAACCUGAACUUCCAAGCAUGUUCUGAAAGUAAUCAGUUACUUUGUUCUAUUGAAACACUUUAGUUCAUACUUGCACUAAUUGUAGGUAUCUAAUUCAGAAGGCUGGCUCCUAGGCUGUCUGUGUAAUCCAGAGAGAAAACCUGCUACACAGCAUGAAUCUGGACAUGUAAAUCAGGCUCUUGCUUUCCAUUUCCUCUUGGAGGAACCUUUCUCCGUCCCUUAACCAUAUGGUAUGCCCAGGGAGACCAGCUUCAAAGUUCGAUGCUUUAAGAUAUAUAUUUAAGAUAUCUACUGACCAAAAUUGGAUUAGAUAAAGAGUAUAACUACAGCAUUUUCUGGGACCAUUGUCAUAUGUAUGAUUAGCUGCAUUUAUCUGUUAACAUAAGUAGGUUGGAUAAAACUGUUCUGUGUGUGCAGCAUGUGUGUGUUUUUCUGCAUGUGAGAGAAAGUGUAAGAAAAGAUUGCGUGAAUUGCUAAAUAAGGUUUCCAAAAAUAUUCCGUCCCCAGGAAUCUGUGUCUGCUGGCUGUCUUUCCCUACCCAUCCUCUUAAAUCCUCUAUCAUUUCUGGCAUUUUUGUGUCUCGCAAGGCACCCUCCUCCCACAGCAUCAUCAUUUCUCCCUUAACUUCUCUUUCUUUCAUCUUAGAGCUCCAUGCUUCUCUUGGCAUAGCCAGAAUCUCUCCUUCAUGCUUUCAUAAUGUCUUUCUCCACUACCCUUUAAGCUUUCAAAGCUU